GAGGGGUCCUAGCGUUGUUCGGAAUCAUUGGGCGUAAAGAGUCUGUAGGCGGCCAUGUAAGUCAGGUGUGAAAGCCCCGGGCUCAACCCGGGAAGUGCAUUUGAUACUGCAUGGCUUGAAUGUUGGAGAGGGUAGUAGAAUUCCAGGUGUAGUGGUGAAAUACGUAGAUAUCUGGAGGAAUACCGGUGGCGAAGGCGGCUACCUGGCCAAACAUUGACGCUGAGAGACGAAAGCGUGGGGAGCAAACAGGAUUAGAUACCCUGGUAGUCCACGCCGUAAACGAUGGGCACUUGGUGUUGGAGGUAUUGACCCCUUCAGUGCCGAAGCUAACGCGAUAAGUGCCCCGCCUGGGGAGUACGGCCGCAAGGUUA
Molecule: ribosomal RNA, 371 nt
Filed under: uncultured bacterium
Lineage: Bacteria
Description: bacterial SSU rRNA
Rfam family: Bacterial small subunit ribosomal RNA
Source: RNAcentral